This 1109-nucleotide ribosomal RNA is filed under the name Salmonella enterica subsp. enterica. Its description in RNAcentral is "partial 23S ribosomal RNA". It matches the Rfam family "Bacterial large subunit ribosomal RNA", at positions 1129 to 2141 of the family's 2925-position model. The record is from RNAcentral. Lineage: Bacteria; Pseudomonadati; Pseudomonadota; Gammaproteobacteria; Enterobacterales; Enterobacteriaceae.
AAAGCGUAAUAGCUCACUGGUCGAGUCGGCCUGCGCGGAAGAUGUAACGGGGCUAAACCAUGCACCGAAGCUGCGGCAGCGAACGUAUCACUUAAAGCGAUUCAGCGGGUUACGAUUGACGGAGCGAAGCGACGUCAAAGCGUAUACAAAGUCGAGUCGGUUUAAGGAUACGUUCGUUGGGUAGGGGAGCGUUCUGUAAGCCUGUGAAGGUGUGUCGUGAGGCAUGCUGGAGGUAUCAGAAGUGCGAAUGCUGACAUAAGUAACGAUAAAGCGGGUGAAAAGCCCGCUCGCCGGAAGACCAAGGGUUCCUGUCCAACGUUAAUCGGGGCAGGGUGAGUCGACCCCUAAGGCGAGGCCGAAAGGCGUAGUCGAUGGGAAACGGGUUAAUAUUCCCGUACUUGGUGUUACUGCGAAGGGGGGACGGAGAAGGCUAUGUUGGCCGGGCGACGGUUGUCCCGGUUUAAGCGUGUAGGCUGGUUUUCCAGGCAAAUCCGGAAAAUCAAGGCUGAGGCGUGACGACGAGGCACUACGGUGCUGAAGCAACAAAUGCCCUGCUUCCAGGAAAAGCCUCUAAGCAUCAGGUAACAUCAAAUCGUACCCCAAACCGACACAGGUGGUCAGGUAGAGAAUACCAAGGCGCUUGAGAGAACUCGGGUGAAGGAACUAGGCAAAAUGGUGCCGUAACUUCGGGAGAAGGCACGCUGACACGUAGGUGAAGUGAUUUACUCAUGGAGCUGAAGUCAGUCGAAGAUACCAGCUGGCUGCAACUGUUUAUUAAAAACACAGCACUGUGCAAACACGAAAGUGGACGUAUACGGUGUGACGCCUGCCCGGUGCCGGAAGGUUAAUUGAUGGGGUCAGCGCAAGCGAAGCUCCUGAUCGAAGCCCCGGUAAACGGCGGCCGUAACUAUAACGGUCCUAAGGUAGCGAAAUUCCUUGUCGGGUAAGUUCCGACCUGCACGAAUGGCGUAAUGAUGGCCAGGCUGUCUCCACCCGAGACUCAGUGAAAUUGAACUCGCUGUGAAGAUGCAGUGUACCCGCGGCAAGACGGAAAGACCCCGUGAACCUUUACUAUAGCUUGACACUGAACAUUGAGCCUUGAUGUGUAG